Long non-coding RNA from Panthera uncia (snow leopard), 1879 nucleotides. RefSeq lists it as uncharacterized. Lineage: Eukaryota; Metazoa; Chordata; Mammalia; Carnivora; Felidae. The transcript is spliced from 2 exons. The record is from RefSeq and is a predicted model, not a curated record.
CCUGCGCGGCGGGCGGGGGCGGGAGGCGUGGGGACCCUGGCGGCGUGCGGGGCGAGCCCUCUAGGAGCCCAGCCUGCGGCGGCGCCCCGGGGCAUCCCCGGGCCCGCCACCAGGGGUUCCCCGGGCCCGUUUCACAGAUGGGGACACGGAGGCUCCGAGGUCACAGAGAUAGGCCACGGUUUUCCAGGAAGGAAGGAGCCGACGCGAGAAUCCUUCCUGCCUACUAUCCUUUGCUCUGGCUGGAGGCGUGAAGGCGGGGUGGGAGGGUGAUGGCGCUGAACCCGGAGAAGCUCAGGGGUUGGUAGCUCCUGCCCCCCGGAAUCUCUAGUCCUCUCUGCUGCAGAAGAGAAAAUAGAACAUCCCCUGGGUCCCCAGAGUUGACCUGCAUCAGUCACCACUGUCCCUGAAGCCCCCACCAUGGGCACCGGGCUGGAGGGUGGGGUAUCGGAGGAAACAUGCAAAUCCCAAGAACUCCCGCCCCCCCCCCCAUGUCACCUGUUUCAGACCAGCCCCUUGUGCAGGGGAGCAGAACAGCCCAGCUGACUCUGGAAAAUGCUUCCAAUCCCUGGCAGGAAAUGGCUGGCAAGGUGCCUCAAGAAAAACUCAAAGCGUUUAGGAAAGUUGAAAUAUGGCAGACUCUACCCCAGUCAAUCAGAACAAGAGCUAAGAGAGAAGUCAUGGAAAUGGGUAUAGUGAAGAUGCUCAAACAUGCCUAGAGGCUUUUAGCAAUGCGGAUUCCCCAGCACAGGCCUGAUCACAGAUCUUGAGUAGGCGGAUGUGGAGCACGGCCCAGGAAUGUGCAUUUGUUACAGGCGUGGCAACCCCCUGACUUACGCAGUAGAACUGCAGAGACCUUCCCUGGAGCCUUGCCAUAGAAAUCUCUUCCAGGGCCUCACCCAGCCUGGAAGGUUCUGCCUGGGUCAAUUCUGCACAACCAGAAAGACCCCAGGCAUAAAGUUUGAGGAGUGACCACAGAAACUAGGGCCUGAUUAGUAAUAGCUUCACAGGAACAGGGAGGGUCAGGCUCAAUUCCCCAAGGCCUUUCUACCCCAGGGCCUUUGCACUUACUGUUUCCUCUCCCUAGAAACUACUGGCACCAGAGAUCUCCUUCACCUCCUUUAGAUUUUACUCAAAUGCCACCUCACUUAAAAUUCUUUAAAAAAAAAACAACAAAACAACCCAAUAGACAAGAAGGAGCAACAAGACAAGAACAAAACAAAAUAAAAACCCUGACACUCUAUCCCUCUUCUGCUCAUCUUACCGCUUGUCAUUUCACAUAUUAUCUUAUUUAUUUAUCUCAUUUGUCUAUCUCUCUGCCCCACCCUCUAUUAGAAACUAAGCUCCACGAGGGCAGGGAUUUUAUUAUUCUGUUCAGUUCACUGCUGGAUCACCAGUACCUAGAACGGUGCCUGAGUGCGAGAGUGAGCAGGGGUGGCCCUUGACAUCCGCCCACAGCUGCCUGGCCUCCUGCCUUCUUGGGCUGCUGAUCCGAUCUGUCCUUAUCCCAGGACGUGGGCUUGUCUAACCACCUGCCUGGACGGUGGGCUCACGGGAGGCCUGAGCACCACCCCUACCUGCACCCCCACCUCCAUGCUUGCCUUUAGUCCAGUUCUCAUCCUCAAUACGAGUGGAGGGGGUAGACUUGCUUACCGCCAGGCAGGCCAUGAGCUGGAGCAACCCAUGGGGCCCGAUCGGCUUUCAGAGGUCAUCUCUCAGUGAAGAACGUUGAACCGAGAGCACAGCCGACUUUCAGACCCGCUGGAGCAGAGAUUGCUGAAUCUGGACUCGACUCCCCUCCCCACAACAUGCCGCCGUCGUCUCAAAGGGAGCGUGUCCCAUUUUAAUUUCAAAAGGAAAAUAAAACACCCCAGUAACUUGA